AUAUACUCAGGAGCCAAAUAACCCGAAUUUCCUUUCAAAUUAUAGAUAGUGGGAAUAUAAGAAUCUGAAAGGUCCACAUUCUCUUUGGCUAAUCCAUAAUCUGAAAUCUGAAAAAAUAAAAUAAAAAAUAAAAAGAAAAUUGAUACAAGAAGUCUAAUUUAAAUAAUUUUAUGUUUCAAAUUGAGUUCAUACUUGUUAAUAAUACCUAUAAUUUAAAUUUAUGAUAGCACUAAGUUGUCGUAAGUCAAUCAGUGGUGGGGCUUGGCCAUAUUUUUUUUCAUGUUUGACUGAAAGUAAACUCAAACUCAAUGUAAUCAUAAUUGAUUAAGUUACAUAAUCCAAUUAAAAUUUUAAAGAUUAGAGUUUAGAUUCAAUUGGGGAUUUAUUAGAAAUAUUAUUUUGGAAGGAGUAGCUGAGCUCCAAGCUACACCCAUGCCAGAAGGCACAACCCAAUACACCCAAGCCUAAAGAGUAGCAGCCUCCUUUACAAAAAUAAGAUACAUAUUGAAAGACCAAAAGCUCAUAACAAAUAACCUAAACUUUGAAAAGCGAAAUAGAGCAGAUAAUUCAUGGAGACAAACUAAAUCUAACCAAAGGAUCAAAUCAAAUUAAGAAACCAAAAAGCACAAAGAGGGGAGAGCCAAAUGCGAAGAGAAUAAGAGAAAAACAAGAGAUUCAAGAAUGGUUUCAAAAGUUGCAUACAUAUGUUAGAGAUAUGUGUUUAGUGUUUAUAAACAUUCACAUUAUCCUUCAUCUGAAAGUCUGAAACAAAAUUAAUGCACAAAAGCAUCAUUCUAUUGUGCUUAUUCUUUAUCUAGACUAAGGCUAGGUUUCGUGAAGAAAAUAAAUCAACCUUAAGGUUGCAAUUAGCUGAGUUCUAUUCAAAUUUUAAACUGAAAAAAUUGGGUUAUCUCAGCUCAAUAAUAAAUAAUAUCUAAUAAUUACCCCCUUUUCUAUUUCAAGGACUCUACUUCAAACCUUAAAAGGUAGAUCAUGAACAUUUUCUAGGGAUUAUACAAGAUAAAAUUAUAAAAAAAAAAAAUUCCAAUAAUUUGGGAGAUAUUAAAGAAAAAACUACAUCUACAGAUAUAGAGAUUAACAAAAAUUAUAAGAGCAUGCAUAGAGUUUUAUCCCUCAUAAAUCUUACCUUUGGUUCGAAGCUAUUAGUAAG
This 1171-nucleotide unclassified non-coding RNA is filed under the name Hevea brasiliensis (rubber tree). The record is from RNAcentral. Lineage: Eukaryota; Viridiplantae; Streptophyta; Magnoliopsida; Malpighiales; Euphorbiaceae.